RNAcentral lists this ribosomal RNA (1450 nucleotides) under uncultured anaerobic ammonium-oxidizing bacterium. RNAcentral describes it as "16S ribosomal RNA". It matches the Rfam family "Bacterial small subunit ribosomal RNA". The record is from RNAcentral.
GAACGAGGAUAUAUCCUUCGGGAUAUAAGCCGAGUGGCACAAGGGUGAGCAAUGCAUAGAUUACCUACCUUUAGGAUAAGGGCAACUUUGUGAAAACGGAGCUAAUACUUAAUAAUACAAAAGAAAAUAAUAUUCUUUUGUCAAAGGGAGGGUAGCAAUACCUUUCGCCUAGAGAGGGGUUUAUGUCCUAUCAGCUUGUUGGUGGGGUAAUAGCCCACCAAGGCGAAGACGGGUAGCCGGUUUAAGAGGAUGGUCGGCCACACUGGGACUGAGACACUGCCCAGACUUCUACGGAAGGCUGCAGUCGAGAAUCUUUCGCAAUGCCCGAAAGGGUGACGAAGCGACGCCGCGUGGGUGAAGAAGGCCUUCGGGUUGUAAAGCCCUGUCAGGAGUUAUGAAAUGUAAGUGCGCUAAUAUCGUGCUUAUUUGACAAAGGCUCCAAAGGAAGCCACGGCUAACUCUGUGCCAGCAGCCGCGGUAAUACAGAGGUGGCGAGCGUUGUUCGGAAUUAUUGGGCGUAAAGAGCACGUAGGUGGGUUUGCAAGUCAGAUGUGAAAGCCUUCUGUUCAACGGAAGAAUUGCAUCUGAAACUGCUAAUCUUGAGUAUAGGAGGGGAGAAUGGAACUUCUGGUGGAGCGGUGAAAUGCGUAGAUAUCAGAAGGAACGCCGGCGGCGAAAGCGAUUCUCUGGCCUAUUACUGACACUCAGUGUGCGAAAGCUAGGGGAGCAAACGGGAUUAGAUACCCCGGUAGUCCUAGCCGUAAACGAUGGGCACUAAGUAGAGGGAAUUACCUAUAUUCUCUCUGCCGUAGCUAACGCAUUAAGUGCCCCGCCUGGGGAGUACGGCCGCAAGGCUAAAACUCAAAAGAAUUGACGGGGGCUCGCACAAGCGGUGGAGCAUGUGGCUUAAUUCGAUGCAACGCGAAAAACCUUACCGGGGCUUGACAUGAUAGAAGUAGGAACCUGAAAGGGGGACGAACGGUAUCCAGUCCGUAGCUAUCACAGGUGUUGCAUGGCUGUCGUCAGCUCGUGUCGUGAGACGUUGGGUUAAGUCCCCUAACGAGCGAAACCCUUGUUUUUAGUUACCAGCGGGUUAUGCCGGGUACUCUAGAAAGACUGCCGUCGUCAAGACGGAGGAAGGUGGGGAUGACGUCAAGUCAUCAUGGCCCUUAUGCCCCGGGCUGCACACGUGCUACAAUGGUCGGUACAGACGGAAGCGAAGCCGAGAGGUGAAGCGAAUCCUAAAAAGCCGAUCUCAGUUCGGAUUGGAGGCUGAAAUUCGCCUCCAUGAAGUUGGAAUCGCUAGUAAUCGCGGAUCAGCAAUGUCGCGGUGAAUAUGUUCCCGAGCCUUGUACACACCGCCCGUCAAGCCACCCAAGCAGGAUGCACCCGAAAACAUUAUAUCUAACCAGGGCAACUUGGAGGAAAAUGUUGAAGGAGUGUUUUGUGA